Molecule: long non-coding RNA, 1273 nt
Filed under: Strongylocentrotus purpuratus (purple sea urchin)
Lineage: Eukaryota; Metazoa; Echinodermata; Echinoidea; Camarodonta; Strongylocentrotidae
Description: uncharacterized LOC115925583
Source: RNAcentral
UAAGACUAUCCAAAAUUCGAAUUACCCGCAAAAUCUGAAAGUCUAGAAUAAGACUAGUCAAAUAAUCUAAUUGAAGUUUUAGAACCAAGAAUAUCUGUAAUUGGUCUGUAACAAAGACUAUGCUGGAACUGUAACUACAGACGCACAUCAGCUGAAAUGAAGUCUAAUUGAACUGAGUAAACUCUUGAACUAAUUGAUCUGAUUGAACAACAACAAGAACUCUUUUUGUGGAUUGACGACAUUUCCGAAUGAGCUGUAAUGACCUUUAUUGCUGUUUGUUUUUUGUUCCCUGUUUGAAAAAAUGUAAUCUUAUCAAAUUGGAAGAUCGAGCAUAUGACAACUAUAUUUGUAGAAAACGGAAAUUAAGUUGAUAUACCUCAUUUUAUCGCAUUAAUUACCUUGCAAAAAAUUACAAUGUGAUUGCACUUAUAAGAAUGUAUUUAAAGGGUAUUUCAGUUCAAUUUCAUCAUUAUGCUUGUAUGUAUUGUAUACAUGAAUGAGCAUUAGAUGUGAACCUGAAUUGAAACCCCCCUUUUGCAACGUAAAUUCAUGCAGAGUAUUUGAACUGAGAGUUGAUCCAGGUUAUUUUCUCGAUUUCUAAAUCCAGUACUUGCAAAUACAGCUAAUUGCUAGUCAUAAAUGGUGAGUUGCAAGGUCUGAGUGUUUGAGACUCGCGGUUAAAUUUAAUUUAACUCAGAUGCUGUAAUAAGAUACUUGGUACAAGCUCUGUACUAGAGAUGAAGUAAUCUCACGAUACAAUUUGAACUGUAAAUCUUGAAUAAAGAUUUGUUUUCCUGCAUGCGCAAUUGAUCAUGUACGUUUCAAGAUAAGUAGAAAUUGAAAUUUUGAGAUGUAGAUCUAUAUGUAUACAUAUAUUGAUAUAUUUUGAACUAUUAAUGUUGAUAAGGAACAAAUAAUCCAAGUCAUUUCUAUGAAGCUAAAAAGGGGUAAAUUAAUUAUUAAUUUAAAGGAGCCAUGUUAAUGUGAUCGUUUAUGAGAGUUAGUUUAUCUGACAAAAAGGAGUAUUCUGACUUACGUCAUGGGCUGAAAUAGCGCCAUCUACGCUUUCCUAAUUCCGACAUAGCAGUAGCAACGAAUUGGAUGUUCGCACCGAAAUCUUGUCCUAAAUUACACCUGUUAUUGAUACGAAGCCAACCCGUUUGCAACAAUAAGGAGGCAAGAAGUUUUCACGGAGCAAGUGUGAUGGAAUUAGUUGACAUAGAAUAAAUUAGCAAGUCAACCCUACUACGACUUUUCAUUGACUGUUUCUUCA